GCUCCAGUGGCGCAAUGGGCCAGCGCGCAGCACUUAUAAUGCUGAGGGUGUGAGUUCAAGCCUCACCUGGAGCA
Non-coding RNA from Rhea pennata, 74 nucleotides. The record is from the annotation of a RefSeq genome assembly. NCBI's taxonomy places the organism in Eukaryota, Metazoa, Chordata, Aves, Rheiformes, Rheidae.